Molecule: ribosomal RNA, 346 nt
Filed under: uncultured fungus
Lineage: Eukaryota; Fungi
Description: SSU rRNA
Rfam family: Eukaryotic small subunit ribosomal RNA
Source: RNAcentral
GUAGUCAUAUGCUUGUCUCAAAGAUUAAGCUAUGCACGUCUAAGUAUAAGCAAUUAUACAGCGAAACUGCGAAUGGCUCAUUAUAUAAGUUAUCGUUUAUUUGGUAGCAACUUACUACCUGGAUAACCGUGGUAAUUCUAGAGCUAAUACAUGCUAAAAACCCCGACUUCGGAACGGGUGUAUUUAUUAGAUUAAAAACCAAUGCCCUCCGGGGCUCCUUGGUGAUUCAUGAUAACUUGGCGAAUCGCAUGGCCUUGCGCCGGCGAUGUUUCAUUCAAAUUUCUUCCCUAUCAACUUUCGAUGUUCGGGUAUUGGCCAAACAUGGUUGCAACGGGUAACGGGGAAU